This 447-nucleotide ribosomal RNA is filed under the name uncultured cyanobacterium. Its description in RNAcentral is "bacterial SSU rRNA". It matches the Rfam family "Bacterial small subunit ribosomal RNA", at positions 431 to 871 of the family's 1533-position model. Lineage: Bacteria; Bacillati; Cyanobacteriota. The record is from RNAcentral.
CACUUUUGGCAGGAAAGAAACGUCAUGGGCUAAUACCCCGUGAAACUGACGGUACCUGCAGAAUAAGCACCGGCUAACUACGUGCCAGCAGCCGCGGUAAUACGUAGGGUGCAAGCGUUAAUCGGAAUUACUGGGCGUAAAGCGUGCGCAGGCGGUUCGGAAAGAAAGAUGUGAAAUCCCAGAGCUUAACUUUGGAACUGCAUUUUUAACUACCGGGCUAGAGUGUGUCAGAGGGAGGUGGAAUUCCGCGUGUAGCAGUGAAAUGCGUAGAUAUGCGGAGGAACACCGAUGGCGAAGGCAGCCUCCUGGGAUAACACUGACGCUCAUGCACGAAAGCGUGGGGAGCAAACAGGAUUAGAUACCCUGGUAGUCCACGCCCUAAACGAUGUCAACUAGCUGUUGGGGCCUUCGGGCCUUGGUAGCGCAGCUAACGCGUGAAGUUGACCG